RNAcentral lists this ribosomal RNA (479 nucleotides) under uncultured bacterium. Its description in RNAcentral is "bacterial SSU rRNA". It matches the Rfam family "Bacterial small subunit ribosomal RNA", at positions 30 to 505 of the family's 1533-position model. The record is from RNAcentral.
AUUGAACGCUGGCGGCAUGCCUUACACAUGCAAGUCGAACGGCAGCACGGGAGCAAUCCUGGUGGCGAGUGGCGAACGGGUGAGUAAUAUAUCGGAACGUGCCCAGUCGUGGGGGAUAACGCAGCGAAAGUUGUGCUAAUACCGCAUACGAUCUAUGGAUGAAAGCGGGGGAUCGCAAGACCUCGCGCGAUUGGAGCGGCCGAUAUCAGAUUAGGUUGUUGGUGAGGUAAAAGCUCACCAAGCCUGCGAUCUGUAGCUGGUCUGAGAGGACGACCAGCCACACUGGAACUGAGACACGGUCCAGACUCCUACGGGAGGCAGCAGUGGGGAAUUUUGGACAAUGGACGAAAGUCUGAUCCAGCAAUGCCGCGUGCAGGACGAAGGCCUUCGGGUUGUAAACUGCUUUUGUACAGAACGAAAAGUACUUUAAUAACACUAGAGGCUCAUGACGGUACUGUAAGAAUAAGACGCUAACUACG